Molecule: ribosomal RNA, 462 nt
Filed under: uncultured bacterium
Lineage: Bacteria
Description: partial 16S ribosomal RNA
Rfam family: Bacterial small subunit ribosomal RNA
Source: RNAcentral
GACGAACGCUGGCGGCGUGCUUAACACAUGCAAGUCGAACGGUAAGGCCCUUCGGGGUCCACGAGUGGCGAACGGGUGAGUAACACGUGGGUGAUCUGCCCUGCACUUUGGGAUAAGCCUGGGAAACUGGGUCUAAUACCGAAUAUGACUACAGGCUGCAUGGUCUGUGGUGGAAAGCUUUUGCGGUGUGGGAUGGGCCCGCGGCCUAUCAGCUUGUUGGUGGGGUGAUGGCCUGCCAAGGCGACGACGGGUAGCCGGCCUGAGAGGGUGACCGGCCACACUGGGACUGAGAUACGGCCCAGUCUCCUACGGGAGGCAGCAGUGGGGAAUAUUGCACAAUGGGCGCAAGCCUGAUGCAGCGACGCCGCGUGAGGGACGACGGCCUUCGGGUUGUAAACCUCUUUCAGCACAGACGAAGCGCAAGUGACGGUAUGUGCAGAAGAAGGACCGGCCAACUACGUG